Molecule: small RNA, 1268 nt
Filed under: Histoplasma capsulatum
Lineage: Eukaryota; Fungi; Ascomycota; Eurotiomycetes; Onygenales; Ajellomycetaceae
Also listed under: 1 other name
Description: hypothetical RNA
Source: RNAcentral
UAUCAAAUUGCCUAGAUCUGGAUAUUGGCCCUCCAGCGACAUUGAUAGCGUUUGGCUCUGGUUUCUUAUCACGUUCGACAACGCUCGCUCGGAGAGCGGAAAGUCAUGUCUCUCCGGGCUCGGUUUAAGCGCCUCUGGGGGAAACACCGGACCAGGACCCCCAAAAAUGCUACAACAACUGUGAAUGCAAAUCCGACCCCAGAAUCGCAUUUCCCAAAGUUGGUCCCAGACGAGUCGGCAAUCUUCGUUGCGGCGUCCACCACGGUGCUCGCAAGCUCAGAGAGUUUGAAAGAAACUAGAUCCCUGAAUCCCGGGCCUACACUAGAAACAAUUCACACGCAUAAUGAUACCCCUAGGUCCAGCCAGGACCUGAAAUUGAGCAGCCUCUGGGAUGAAGCAUAUGACGAGCUUCGAAAAGAAAAUGCAAAGCUUGUAGAUGCCUAUGAGCAAGACUUGUUUUCCAUUCAGAACUUGGGACAGCAAGCCCCCAAAGGCGAGGAUAGGGAGAUCCAGCUUCAGAAGCUACUAGAUUCGAAGCUUCAGAACAUUGAGAACUCGCAAAUGAAAAUUUCCAUACAUGGAAAAGACGUUGUUAUCAGAGAUCAGGCUAGGAAGGUCGUACAUUCCAUCCUUUCAGUGAAAGAUUACAUCGGAUCUAUAGCCUUCGCAGAGCCACAUGCGGCCCUAGCUUGGGCAGGAAUUUUAAUUAUUCUCCCAGUUAUUACAAAUCCAAUCACACAAGCUGAAUACGGCACUGAAGGUCUUGAAUAUAUAUCAGAACUUCUGGUUCGGUGUAAGGUAACGGAGGACACCUAUCGUGAGAACCUUGCAUGUGUGCUUGCAACUUCAAGCCCAAGCAUACCAGCAUACCUGGUGGAAUUAAAUGCCUCCUUCAGAGCUAAGACUAUCAGCAUUUACUCACAGAUACUAAAGUAUCAAAUAAGCCUCUCCCAGCAAUGUUCUCGUUCGGGACUAUUUCGCUUCUUGAGAGACUAUGUAAUUGCUGAUGAUUGGCAGGGCAUGCUGGAAAGCAUAAAAGGCACUGAGGAAGACAUCAGCAGAGUUUUGGAUUCAUUUGAUAGCAGAACUUUAAAAAAGAUAGACGAGCAAGUUUCUGUUCUUCGAAGCAACGCGGAUAAAUCCUUAGGUCUCUUGUUAGAGACUAAAGCCGGUGUUGAGAAAAUCAAUCAGGCGCAAUUGCUUGGAAAGCUCUAUCGUGCGGAGUAUGCUGCUUUUAACACAUUCACAAAAGCGGAUCGCCGACCCCC